This 433-nucleotide ribosomal RNA is filed under the name uncultured bacterium. RNAcentral's name for it is "partial 16S ribosomal RNA". It matches the Rfam family "Bacterial small subunit ribosomal RNA", at positions 29 to 507 of the family's 1533-position model. The record is from RNAcentral.
AGCGAACGCUGGCGGCAGGCUUAACACAUGCAAGUCGAGCGGGCACUUCGGUGUCAGCGGCAGACGGGUGAGUAACACGUGGGAACGUACCCUUUGGUUCGGAAUAACGCUGGGAAACUAGCGCUAAUACCGGAUACGCCCUUUUGGGGAAAGGCUUGCUGCCGAAGGAUCGGCCCGCGUCUGAUUAGCUAGUUGGUGGGGUAAUGGCCUACCAAGGCGACGAUCAGUAGCUGGUCUGAGAGGAUGAUCAGCCACACUGGGGCUGAGACACGGCCCAGACUCCUACGGGAGGCAGCAGUGGGGAAUAUUGGACAAUGGGCGCAAGCCUGAUCCAGCCAUGCCGCGUGAGUGAUGAAGGCCUUAGGGUUGUAAAGCUCUUUUGUCCGGGACGAUAAUGACGGUACCGGAAGAAUAAGCCCCGGCUAACUUCGUG